Molecule: ribosomal RNA, 301 nt
Filed under: uncultured bacterium
Lineage: Bacteria
Description: partial 16S ribosomal RNA
Rfam family: Bacterial small subunit ribosomal RNA
Source: RNAcentral
CAGCCGCCGCGGUAAAACGUAGGGCGCAAGCGUUGUCCGGAAUUAUUGGGCGUAAAGAGCUCGUAGGCGGUCUGUCGCGUCUGGUGUGAAAUCCCGAGGCUCAACCUCGGGCUUGCAUCGGGUACGGGCAGACUAGAGUGCGGUAGGGGAGACUGGAAUUCCUGGUGUAGCGGUGGAAUGCGCAGAUAUCAGGAGGAACACCGAUGGCGAAGGCAGGUCUCUGGGCCGCAACUGACGCUGAGGAGCGAAAGCAUGGGGAGCGAACAGGAUUAGAUACCCCAGUAGUCCCUGUCUCUUAUAA